RNAcentral lists this non-coding RNA (28 nucleotides) under Rattus norvegicus (Norway rat). Lineage: Eukaryota; Metazoa; Chordata; Mammalia; Rodentia; Muridae. The record is from RNAcentral.
UGGUGUCAAAAGCUGUCUAUAAGAUGGA